Molecule: long non-coding RNA, 1569 nt
Organism: Nylanderia fulva
Lineage: Eukaryota; Metazoa; Arthropoda; Insecta; Hymenoptera; Formicidae
Source: RefSeq, a predicted model, not a curated record
UCUAUAAGAAACCACAUUCCAUUGGUACGUGGUUUCUUAUAGGUUGAAAUUUGUGCUGUGCUAUUUCUAUCGCUAUUGCCUCGCAUUGUGUCUCAGGCUUUACUUUAUCUUUACUGGAAUUCUAAAGUACAAUAUUAGAGAACUGUGUUUUCAUUGACAUUAUUAAUAACUUUUCAUUUCUCUAUUCACUGCAGUCCUCCAAGAAAUUAGACAAAGCAUUACCUUCGCGUCUAUUCAUCCGCUUCUCCUCAUUUUCAUGCCUCGCCUUGGAAUGUCGGAACCACUCCAUAACUCGUCGUUGUAUUUUUCUCUGGUCGGAAUCCGGGAUAUUGUGAAUUUCUGCAGUGGUUCCUUUCCGCGUCGGCCUUCCCAGUUAUAUCUCUCCGCCAAUUUAUUGGAGAAUACUUUAUACAAUGUUCUCUUUACGGCAUCAUCGACACUUGUCCCUCCGAUGGAUUUGAUAUAUCCGCGCUAUAAAAUAAAAAGUGUUAUGUUGGGAAUUUGACGCUUUCAAGAUCUCCUCAACUUCCGCUAACUGAACUACGGUUUGCAAGGGAAACCGGUUUUCAGCGCCCUCAAAGGAAAUUUGUGUUCUCUCACAUUCUGUGUCUUUAUUAAUUUUGUCCACUAUGAUGUCUACUAAGGGCUGUUAUGCGAAUAUUCAUUGUCUGACCGACCAUGGGCAUGUAUCAAGCCAUCUCGAGUUUUCUCUCUUGGAGCAAUAAUAGUACGCGGCAUAUGUUCCUCAGCAUCUGUUUCACAUGAAGCACCGAAAUCAUCUCCAUUCCUAUCUUCAUUAAUAGGCGAAGCUGUAGAGAACAAAAUUGAGGACAUGGAGCAGGUGGCAAAUUUACACCAGACUCUUCUUCGCUUUCCGACGAAGAGUAAAUUUUUCUCGCUCUAUGUUUUCGGUAAUAUUUUGCUUCCUUUUCCGUGUCCAUAUCUGACGUGUAUAAAGCUUUUUCUGCCUUCGCAUAAGCCUUCUGUAAGGACGCUGAAAAUAUUAUAAACAUUAAAUAUUAUAAAUAAGUAAAAUAUUUAUAAAAGUCAGUAAAACCCUAUACUUAAAUAUAGUACUUACAAUAUUCGCCAAAAAUUCUUAUAACUUCUAAUGCGGGCCAAUCAAACUUUGGUAUCUCCUGUUUCUCUACCGCUUUUCGGAUUUUUAUAUCCGUCUUAAAAUGCGAGGGAUAUUUGCAUUCAUCUUUAUUUUGCAACCAAAUUUUUGGUAUUACUUGAAUACCAUCCGGGAAUUCUGCGACGACAAAGCCUUGAUUCGACAUCUUCUUAUACGCAUCUACAGCCCACGGGAAGUCAGGAGGAAAAGCGCACGGCGACGAGCUUUAAGGUCGAUAAUCCUAAUAACAUUCAUGCGAAUUAGUAUAUUCAUCAUUAUAUUCGACACGGAAUUCUUUACAAUUAUAUGCGAAUUGAGGACUCUAUACGUUUUUUAUUAUACAGAAAAGUGUGUAAGUCAAAUUUAUCAUUCUCUUUUCGAGUUUACAGCGUCAGACAUUUGCGUUUCGGAGCGAUUGAUUGCAUGUAUAGUAAUAUUUAAUCAAAUUUAAC